AUGUCCAUACCACGCUGAAUACACCGGUUCUCAUCUGAUCACCGAAGUUGAGCAGCGUCGGGCGCGGUUAGGACUUGGAUGGGUGACCGCCUGGGAACACCGCACGA
Molecule: ribosomal RNA, 107 nt
Filed under: Eumeta japonica
Lineage: Eukaryota; Metazoa; Arthropoda; Insecta; Lepidoptera; Psychidae
Source: RNAcentral